RNAcentral lists this ribosomal RNA (253 nucleotides) under uncultured bacterium. RNAcentral's name for it is "partial 16S ribosomal RNA". It matches the Rfam family "Bacterial small subunit ribosomal RNA", at positions 524 to 776 of the family's 1533-position model. The record is from RNAcentral.
CACGUAGGGUGCGAGCGUUGUCCGGAAUUAUUGGGCGUAAAGAGCUCGUAGGCGGUGUGUCGCGUCGGCCGUGAAAACCUGCAGCUUAACUGUGGGCUUGCGGUCGAUACGGGCAGACUGGAGUACUGCAGGGGAGACUGGAAUUCCUGGUGUAGCGGUGGAAUGCGCAGAUAUCAGGAGGAACACCGGUGGCGAAGGCGGGUCUCUGGGCAGUAACUGACGCUGAGGAGCGAAAGCAUGGGGAGCGAACAGG